GAUGAAGAACGUAGCGAAAUGCGAUAAGUAGUGUGAAUUGCAGAAGUACCGUGAAUCAUCGAAUCUUUGAACGCAAAUUGCACUCUCUGGUAUUCCGGGGAGUAUGCCUGUUUGAGGGUCGCUUAACAAACCAUCGAUUUCGUUGCUUUUUUUUUAAAAAGUGAUGUUUAUCGGAUUUGAGCCGUCUUUUUUUUUUAUAUUUAAGUGGCUUAAAAUUGAUUUUUUUGUUACGAUCGAAGCGUAUUUUUAUGAUCAAUUUUUGGUUAAAGAAACGCACACGUACCGUUAUUUAUAUGAUGUAAUACGUUUGACUAUUGGAUUUAGUUCAUUCGUAUACGAUAUUUUUCAAUAUUUGACCUCAAAUCAGGUAAGAACACCCGCUGAACUUAAGCAUAUCAAUAAGCGGAGGA
This 410-nucleotide unclassified non-coding RNA is filed under the name soil metagenome. RNAcentral's name for it is "partial contains 5.8S ribosomal RNA, internal transcribed spacer 2, and large subunit ribosomal RNA". The stretch from base 1 to 121 matches the Rfam family "5.8S ribosomal RNA", at positions 35 to 154 of the family's 154-position model. The record is from RNAcentral.